CGUCUAGGUGGUUAUGUAAGUCUGAUGUGAAAAUGCAGGGCUCAACUCCGUAUUGCGUUGGAAACUGUAUAACUAGAGUACUGGAGAGGUAAGCGGAACUACAAGUGUAGAGGUGAAAUUCGUAGAUAUUUGUAGGAAUGCCGAUGGGGAAGCCAGCUUACUGGACAGAUACUGACGCUGAAGCGCGAAAGCGUGGGUAGCAAACA
Molecule: ribosomal RNA, 206 nt
Filed under: uncultured bacterium
Lineage: Bacteria
Description: partial 16S ribosomal RNA
Rfam family: Bacterial small subunit ribosomal RNA
Source: RNAcentral